RNAcentral lists this ribosomal RNA (498 nucleotides) under uncultured Colwellia sp. RNAcentral describes it as "bacterial SSU rRNA". It matches the Rfam family "Bacterial small subunit ribosomal RNA", at positions 34 to 524 of the family's 1533-position model. The record is from RNAcentral. Lineage: Bacteria; Pseudomonadati; Pseudomonadota; Gammaproteobacteria; Alteromonadales; Colwelliaceae.
CGGUGCCGGCAGCUUACCAUGCAAGUCGAGCGGUAACAGAGAUAGCUUGCUAUCUGCUGACGAGCGGCGGACGGGUGAGUAAUGCUUGGGAAUAUGCCUUAUGGUGGGGGACAACAGUUGGAAACGACUGCUAAUACCGCAUAACGUCUACGGACCAAAGGGGGGGAUGCUUCGGCACCUCCCGCCAUUUGAUUAGCCCAAGUGAGAUUAGCUAGUAGGUGAGGUAAGAGCUCACCUAGGCGACGAUCUCUAGCUGGUUUGAGAGGAUGAUCAGCCACACUGGGACUGAGACACGGCCCAGACUCCUACGGGAGGCAGCAGUGGGGAAUAUUGCACAAUGGGCGAAAGCCUGAUGCAGCCAUGCCGCGUGUGUGAAGAAGGCCUUCGGGUUGUAAAGCACUUUCAGCGAGGAGGAAAGGUUAGUGGUUAAUAGCCACUAGCUGUGACGUUACUCGCAGAAGAAGCACCGGCUAACUUCGUGCCAGCAGCCGCGGUAAC